AUGCAGCUGAGGAGUUCCAAAUAGGACGAAACGCGCGUCCUGGAU
RNAcentral lists this non-coding RNA (45 nucleotides) under Schistosoma mansoni. The record is from RNAcentral. Lineage: Eukaryota; Metazoa; Platyhelminthes; Trematoda; Strigeidida; Schistosomatidae.